GUUUGACCUCAAAUCAGAUAGGAAUACCCGCUGAACUUAAGCAUAUCAAUAAGCGGAGGA
This 60-nucleotide ribosomal RNA is filed under the name uncultured fungus. RNAcentral describes it as "partial 28S ribosomal RNA". It matches the Rfam family "Eukaryotic large subunit ribosomal RNA", at positions 1 to 57 of the family's 3401-position model. Lineage: Eukaryota; Fungi. The record is from RNAcentral.